GGCUUAGAGUUUGAUCCUGGCUCAGAUUGAACGCUGGCGGCAGGCCUAACACAUGCAAGUCGAGCGGAUGAAGAGAGCUUGCUCUCUGAUUCAGCGGCGGACGGGUGAGUAAUGCCUAGGAAUCUGCCUAUUAGUGGGGGACAACGUUUCGAAAGGAACGCUAAUACCGCAUACGUCCUACGGGAGAAAGCAGGGGACCUUCGGGCCUUGCGCUAAUAGAUGAGCCUAGGUCGGAUUAGCUAGUUGGUGAGGUAAAGGCUCACCAAGGCGACGAUCCGUAACUGGUCUGAGAGGAUGAUCAGUCACACUGGAACUGAGACACGGUCCAGACUCCUACGGGAGGCAGCAGUGGGGAAUAUUGGACAAUGGGCGAAAGCCUGAUCCAGCCAUGCCGCGUGUGUGAAGAAGGUCUUCGGAUUGUAAAGCACUUUAAGUUGGGAGGAAGGGCAGUAAGUUA
Molecule: ribosomal RNA, 457 nt
Filed under: uncultured bacterium
Lineage: Bacteria
Description: SSU rRNA
Rfam family: Bacterial small subunit ribosomal RNA
Source: RNAcentral